Molecule: ribosomal RNA, 437 nt
Filed under: uncultured bacterium
Lineage: Bacteria
Description: partial 16S ribosomal RNA
Rfam family: Bacterial small subunit ribosomal RNA
Source: RNAcentral
AGCGAACGCUGGCGGCAGGCUUAACACAUGCAAGUCGAGCGGGCAUCCUUGUGGUGUCAGCGGCAGACGGGUGAGUAACGCGUGGGAACGUGCCCUUCGGUUCGGAAUAACUCAGGGAAACUUGAGCUAAUACCGGAUACGUGCGAGAGCAGAAAGGUUUAUCUGCCGAAGGAUCGGCCCGCGUCUGAUUAGCUAGUUGGUGAGGUUACGGCUCACCAAGGCGACGAACAGUAGCUGGUCUGAGAGGAUGAUCAGCCACACUGGGACUGAGACACGGCCCAGACUCCUACGGGAGGCAGCAGUGGGGAAUAUUGGACAAUGGGGGCAACCCUGAUCCAGCCAUGCCGCGUGAGUGAUGACGGCCUUAGGGUUGUAAAGCUCUUUUCUCCGGGACGAUAAUGACGGUACCGGAGGAAUAAGCCCCGGCUAACUUCGUG